This 253-nucleotide ribosomal RNA is filed under the name uncultured bacterium. Its description in RNAcentral is "partial 16S ribosomal RNA". It matches the Rfam family "Bacterial small subunit ribosomal RNA", at positions 524 to 776 of the family's 1533-position model. The record is from RNAcentral.
UACGUAGGGGGCUAGCGUUGUCCGGAAUCAUUGGGCGUAAAGCGCGUGUAGGCGGCCCGGUAAGUCCGCUCUGAAAGUCGGGGGCUCAACCCUCGGAUGCGGGUGGAUACUGUCGGGCUUGAGUGCGGAAGAGGCGAGUGGAAUUCCUAGUGUAGCGGUGAAAUGCGCAGAUAUCAGGAGGAACACCAAUUGCGAAGGCAGCUCGCUGGGACGUUACUGACGCUGAGACGCGAAAGCUAGGGGAGCAAACGGG